GAAGGGUGCAAGCGUUAAUCGGAAUUACUGGGCGUAAAGCGUGCGUAGGCGGUUUCUUAAGUCUGCUGUGAAAGCCCCGGGCUCAACCUGGGAAUGGCGGUGGAUACUGAGGAGCUGGAGUACGGUAGAGGAAGGUGGAAUUCCCGGUGUAGCGGUGAGAUGCGUAGAGAUCGGGAGGAACAUCAGUGGCGAAGGCGGCCUUCUGGACCAGUACUGACGCUGAGGCACGAAAGCGUGGGGAGCAAACAGGAUUAGAUACCCUGGUAGUCCACGCCCUAAACGAUGCGGACUGGACGUUGGGUUCAAUUUGGAACUCAGUGUCGAAGCUAACGCGUUAAGUCCGCCGCCUGGGGAGUACGCUCGCAAGAGUG
Molecule: ribosomal RNA, 371 nt
Filed under: uncultured bacterium
Lineage: Bacteria
Description: bacterial SSU rRNA
Rfam family: Bacterial small subunit ribosomal RNA
Source: RNAcentral